This is a long non-coding RNA of Wasmannia auropunctata (little fire ant), 658 nucleotides long. RefSeq lists it as uncharacterized. The transcript has 2 exons. The record is from RefSeq and is a predicted model, not a curated record. NCBI's taxonomy places the organism in Eukaryota, Metazoa, Arthropoda, Insecta, Hymenoptera, Formicidae.
ACGCUUCCCGCUAAGCGAGAUGCCAUGAGUCGCGACGCGGAAUCCGUUCGUAUGAUGAAGAGGCCGAAGUCGUGUAGAGGUUUCAAUUCGUUGUUUGAUAUGCCAAUCAAGUCAUAUGGAAUUCAGCAAUCUAUAUCCAAAAUUGAAAACAACCGUCGAGUGAUUAUGAAAUCACCGGGGGAGACCGGAUAUCGAAUGGUUCGGCUUGAAAUUUACGAUGUAAACAAGAUUACUGGGCUGGAACGGCGACAAUGGUGGAAAGUCGCUGAAGUGCGAGCAGAAUUUCUCACGUCUUCCGAAUCAGAUCGUAAGCAACGGUUGACGCAGCAAUUGUUGGACGCAGCGGCCGACGAUUUGAAGACAAUUAAUGGAGUUAGGAAAGAGACGAUAGAUAUAUUUCUGUAAGAGGGAGAGAUGGAUGGAGGGAGAACGAUAGAUCGUGGAUGUGAAGAUGAGGAAGCUGUCCCAGCAAACCACAGUAUAUAACUUAGCUGAUGUAUAUGUUAUAUUACACAAGUGUCAUAAAUAUUACAUGUAAUAUUAUUUGUACAGUACAUAUAAUGUACUAACGGUACGGCUAUAUGUCAGCAACUUUGAAUGUAUAAUUUAUGUAUUAGAUAUAUAUAAUUGCAACGUAACAUUAUAUACGUCUUUUUUA